Molecule: ribosomal RNA, 253 nt
Filed under: uncultured bacterium
Lineage: Bacteria
Description: partial 16S ribosomal RNA
Rfam family: Bacterial small subunit ribosomal RNA
Source: RNAcentral
UACGGGGGGAGCAAGCGUUGUUCGGAUUUACUGGGCGUAAAGGGCGCGUAGGCGGCGUGGUAAGUCACUUGUGAAAUCUCCGGGCUUAACCCGGAAAGGUCAAGUGAUACUGCUGUGCUAGAGUGCGGAAGGGGCAACUGGAAUUCUCGGUGUAGCGGUGAAAUGCGUAGAUAUCGAGAGGAACACCUGCGGCGAAGGCGGCUCGCUGGACCGGUCCUGACGCUCAGGCGCGAAAGCGUGGGGAGCGAUCCGG